UUUCCUCUGCUUCUGUUAACUGGACCGUAGCCACCAUUUCUUACUUAUCCAGUCAACAAAGUCCUGCUGCUCUGGUCCGGGCACCAUCUCUGUACUGACGAGAUGUGUGGUCGGUCAUGCAUGACUCGGGAGCAUUCCAGAGGAACUUCAACUGAGAUAAUUAACUUUAAAUAAAAAUAAAUCUGCAUCGGGCUCUAAGAUAUUUCAGAGAUUUGAAAGAAGAAGUGGGGAAUUUGUACUAUCCAGGUUCUAUUUCCAGCACGAGCUUUUUGAGCUAUGUGAUCAUGAGUUCAUGAAGGCAGCUGACCUCUUUCUCAGAGUGAAGUUGUUCUCGGGCUGAGGAGCUGGAGCCUGAUUCAUACAGCGCUGCGAGAACAACUCAAACUACAUCAGUCCUUUUGGGCAGAUGGUGAGGCUCUUUUAGCUGUGUUUCUGCUCUAGAAGAUUCUAUAACUUUCAUGUGUUCCGCCAUCUUCAGCGCCAGAGGGCUUUUUCGGCUGCUCCCUCCCCGGCGAAGUUCCUACCAACUUCAGCGCCAGAGGUUCUUCUCGGCCUCGCCCUCUCCUGCCGGCUGCCUGUUCCACCAUCUUCAGCACCGGAAAGGUAGCCGCGCUGGCAUCCCCGAACCCCCCCGACCAACCUUCCCC
Molecule: long non-coding RNA, 647 nt
Filed under: Fukomys damarensis (Damara mole-rat)
Lineage: Eukaryota; Metazoa; Chordata; Mammalia; Rodentia; Bathyergidae
Description: lncRNA (ENSFDAG00000024857.1)
Source: RNAcentral